AACUUCUUCAUACGAAGUCAGAUUUGGGCGUUCUUUUUAUCGAUGUUCUUAGUUUAACAUAUUCUACGACUUUCGUUUAGAUCACUAAGGCUAAAUCUCGCUCUAUCGUAAAUUCACUAUUCACGCUUCCCGGUAUCGUGCCGGUUCUGUCGUGAAACUUCGACGGGUCAUAACUUCUUCGUUAUAACUCGGAUUUCGGCGUUCCUUAUAUGCACGGAAACCUUGAGACAUAUUCUACAACUUUAUGUAGAGAUAUCGGGAUUAUCUCACACUUUAAUUUUGACGCUCAUUUUUAUUCUUUAUUAAUUAUACAUUUAUAAUUAAAUAAUAAACACAUAUAAUUCACAUAAUACUCAAAUAUUUCAUCUUUAUUACUUCAAAAAGAGUUACAAGAGUUGACCUAGACUAUUACAUUGACAAAAAUGCUUAGCCCUGAAACCCGGGCGUUACAAUUCUCUCCCCCUUAGGAUGAUUCCGUCCCGGAAUCAUGCAUCAGCAAACAGAUGUGGAUAGCGACUCAUCAUGUCAUCCUCUGUUUCCCAAGUGAGAUUCGGCCCAUUCGAAUGUUUCCAUCGGACUAGCACCAAGUCGACCAUCUUGCGUCGUAACUUCUUAGUCUUACGGUCAACAAUUGCCUCAGGCUCUUCGAUCAACCUUUUAUUUUCAUCCAUCCUUAACUCUGAGAUUGGAAUUAUGUCGGGAACAUCUCCCGUGAAUUUCCUCAAAUAACACACAUGGAAGGUGUUAUGAAUACCAUUGAGUUCUUCGGGCAAUUCCAGCUUGUAAGCUUGGUUCCCUAUCUUCUGAAGAACUUUGAACGGUCCAAUAAACCUUGGACUCAACUUUCCUCGUUUCCCAAAUCGUAUAAGUCCCUUCCACGGUGAGACUUUAAGCAAAACGGAAUCCCCAACUUCGAAAGUUAUCGGUCGUCUUUUCUUGUCAGCAUAGCUCUUCUGACGAUCCUGGGCUGCUAACAUCCUUUCCCUAAUCACCUUCAACUUCUCAGCAGUCUCAUGGACUAUCUCGGGGCCCAUAAACUGCUUCUCUCCGGCUUCAAGCCAACAAGACGGCGUACGACACUUCUGCCCAUACAAGGCUUGAUAAGGAGCCAUCUUGAUGCUCGAGUGAAAACUAUUGUUGUAGGAAAAUUCUACCAGAGGUAAGUGCUCGUCCCAAUUCCCUUGGAAUUCGAGGGUACAUGCUCUCAGCAUAUCUUCCAGCGUCUGAAUCGUUCUUUCGCUCUGACCAUCAGUUUGCGGAUGAUAAGCAGUACUCAAACACAACUUUGUACCUAACUCCUCUUGUAGACUCCUCCAAAACCUUGACGUGAAACGACUAUCACGAUCUGAUACAAUCGUAAGAGGGACACCGUGAAGUCUUACAAUUUCCUUCACGUAAGCAUUUGCGAGCUUAUCCAUAGACCACUUCUCGUUGGCUGCUAUGAAGUGUGCACUCUUGGUGAAACGAUCCACGACUACCCAAAUCAUGUCGUGACCGUUCUUCGUCCUGGGCAGUUUAGUCACAAAAUCCAUGGUGAUGUCUUCCCAUUUACCCAUGGGUACAGGUAAAGGUUCUAAACUCCCAUACGGUUUCUGAUGUUGUGCCUUAACCCUCGCACAUGUUACGCACUCGGCCACAUACUUCGCAACAUCGAGCUUCAUCGUCGGCCACCAGUAGUAGGGUUUUAGGUCCCUAUACAUUUUAGUGCUACCGGGAUGAAUCGAGUACAUGGUCUUGUGUGCUUCUUCCAUCAGAAGAUCUCUUAUUCCUCCCGUCUUAGGUACCCAAAUUCGAUCUUGGAAUACCUUCAGUCCUCGACUGUUUGUACCGAACACUAACGUUCUUCCCAAACGUUCUUCCUUUCGGUCAUUUUUCUCUAAAGCUUCUUCUUGAGCUUUCCUGAUACUUUCCACAAUCGUCGAGACGACUUCAAUUCUUAACGCUCUUGGCCUUUUCCUUUCCAGAUUGACUUUCCGACUGAGAGCAUCAGCAACAAUAUUUGCUUUACCUGGGUGGUAAAGUAUCUCACAGUCGUAGUCCUUGAGAAGUUCUAGCCAGCGUCGUUGCCUCAUGUUCAACUCCUUCUGAUUAAAGAGAUACUGGAGACUCUUAUGAUCAGUGAAGAGCUUGCACUUCGUGCCGUAGAGGUAAUGCCUCCAUAUCUUUAAGGCAAAAACUACCGCUGCCAACUCCAGAUCAUGAGUGGGGUAGUUCUUUUCGUGCUCUUUCAAUUGUCGAGAUGCGUAUGCUAUCACCUUUUCUCUUUGGGUCAGAACACAACCCAACCCGACUCCAGAAGCGUCACUAUAAACCGCGAAAUCUUCGACUCCAUCGGGUAGAGAAAGUAUCGGUGCUUCACAUAACUUCUUCUUUAGCUUCUCGAAUGCCUCAUCGUGUUUCUCACUCCACGUAUACGUAGCUCCUUUAUGAGUCAAAGCUGUUAAUGGAGCAGCUAUCGAAGAAAAGCCUUGGAUAAAUCGUCGAUAAUAUCCGGCUAAUCCUAGAAAGCUUCGAAUCUCCGUGGGACUCUUUGGACGUUCCCACUUCAUUACAGCCUCGAUCUUUGCGGGGUCAACCAUUAUUCCCUCCUGGUUAACAACAUGACCCAAGAAUUGGACUUCCCGUAUCCAAAAGUCGCAUUUGGAGAACUUUGCAAAAAGCUUCUCCUUCUUCAACACUUCUAAUACUUCCCGUAGAUGCUUGCCAUGCUCCUCUUGGCUUUUCGAGUAGAUGAGAAUGUCGUCGAUGAACACUAUCACGGAUUUAUCGAGGAAUGGUUUACAAACCCUAUUCAUCAAAUCCAUGAAUGCUGCGGGAGCAUUGGUUAGCCCGAAUGACAUAACCAAGAACUCGUAGUGUCCAUAUCUCGUUCUGAAUGCAGUCUUCUCAAUAUCCUGCUUUCUCACCUUUAGCUGAUGAUAUCCUGACCUAAGAUCGAUCUUUGAGAAGUAGCUCGAACCUUGCAGCUGAUCGAAUAGGUCAUCAAUCCUCGGCAAUGGAUACUUGUUCUUCACCGUUGCCUUAUUCAGCUCUCGGUAGUCUAUACACAUUCUCAUACUUCCGUCCUUCUUCUUCACGAAUAACACCGGAGCUCCCCAGGGUGAUGAACUAGGUCGAAUAAAACCGUUGUCCAACAGCUCCUGAAGUUGCGUCAUGAGCUCCUUCAUCUCCGUCGGUGCUAAUCGGUAAGGUGCCUUUGCUAUCGGUGUUGUUCCUGGUAACAAGUCUAUACGAAACUCCACUUGCCUAUCAGGUGGUAAUCCGGGAAGAUCUUCGGGAAAGACUUCCGGAUAAUCACACACAACCGGUAUAUUCUGCACCUCUUUCUUCUCCUUCUUGGCAUCGAUUACGAAUGCCAAGUAUGAUGCACAUCCUUUGGACAAACAUUUCCUGGCUUUCAUCAGGGAGAUGAUUCCAGAAUUCACUCUGCGUUUGUCCCCAUACACCAUAAAUGAUUCUUUUCCGGGUGGGUUUACCUUUACUAUCUUCUUUCGGCAUUGAAUCUCAGCAUCGUUGGCGCUAAGCCAAUCCAUACCCAAAACGAUGUCGAAACCGUUUAACUCUAUGGGUAAUAGCUCUUCGUGGAAUUCGUUUCCGUUUAGGUCAAUGACGAUGUUCCUAAUACGAUUACUAACAGGUACGAAUUUGCCACUGGCAACUUCUACAAUCAGGGCAUUAUCUAGUUUUUCUACAGGCAAUGCUAAUUUCCCACCAAAUUUAUGCGACACAAAGGAGUAGUUGGCUCCGGAAUCAAAUAGUAUAUUUGCAGGCAAACCAUUUACAAGAAAGGUACCUGAAGCGACGUCUGCUGCCUCCUUUGCAGCCUCGAGCGUCAUCUGGAAGGCUCUCGCCUUCGGCUUCGGUGGUAUGUUGGGUCUUCCUGUCUCCUUCUUCUUCGGGCAGUCCUUCAAAAUGUGCCCUUCUUCAUUGCACCCAUAACAGGCUUUCUGGUUGAGGGUGCAUUCAUUGGCGUAGUGCCCAGGCUUUCCGCACUUGUAACAAGUGACCCCUCCGUCACACUUCCCAGAGUGCUUCUUCUUGCACUUGUCACACCACUUCGCUUCUGAUCCUCCUCCCCUCGAACCAGACUUCGAGAAUCUACUCUUCUUGUUGGACUUCGAGGAUCCAUUGAACUUCCGUUUCUCACCAACCUCAGCCCUCUCCAGACCUCUUUCCUUUUGUUGGGUCUCCACGUUCUUAGCUGCUCGAACAGCUGAUUUCAGAGUGGUUGCCAUCUUGACUGUUGGGCCAAAGUCAGCCGGCAGUCCGUUUGCGAAUUUCUCAAUUUUGGAAAGUUCGGUUGGCACUAGGUAUGGAAACAACUUCAUCUUUUCCGUAAAUGCAGCAGCAUAGUCAUCGAUGCUCAUUCUCCCCUUCUUCAAAUUUUGGAACUCAUUGUUCAGAUCAAUCAGGUCUAUCUCUGAACAGUACUGCGCCUUCAGUUGUUCCAAGAACUCAUCCCAUGACAUUUUCAGAGCUUCUCCCCGUGGCAUUGUAUCUGCCAAUAGCUUCCACCAGCUCAAGACUCCAGUUUUCAAUUGUCUCACAGCGAAGACAGUCUUCUGCUUCUCGCUGCAGUCGCAGCUCUCAAACACCAUCUCCAUCUCGGAGAUCCAGUCCAUAAUCUCAACAGGCUUUGGGCUUCCUGAGAGACUUGGUGGUUUCGCACCCAAGAAAUUUUUGUACAUCCGCCCAUCCUUGUUGUUUCUCCCUUCUGGGCCAUCCUUUUGCUCACCUUGAGUCCCUACUUGACUCACUUGGCGGCUAUAGUUCCCUUCCUCAGAUGGCUCGGGAACUGGCUCCGUCGGUUCAACAUGUAUGGUAGGUUCGUCCCUAUUUUCGUGGAGCAUCCGUCUCAUUUCUUCCCUUUGUUCAGCUAGCAUAGCCUGAAUCAUGGCUUGAACUCCAGCCAUGGUGACUGGCUCAGGUGCAACUUCUUCAACAACAGGUAUUUGCUGAACCACUGGGGGUUGGUUCCUACCUCCAUUUGCGUUCACGUUUCCGCUACGGGUCCUUGCCAUCUUGAUCUAUACACCGAAUAAGGUGAAUUUAGAUCUUUAUUUAGGAUAGACGUUUUAAAUCGUCCUUAUCACUCCGAAACGUUUACAUGCUAGUUCUAAUAUCGUAGUCGUACGUUUAGAAUCCUAAACACAUAAGGUUUCCAGAUCCGGUCGGCAACAGACCAUAGAUCCGAACAAUUAACAGCAUAUUAUGCACAAAGCAUUUAGCACAUAAAAGCAUUUUAGGCACAAUUCCUAAAAUAAGCUAGUGCUCACACCUCACAAUCAUCGCUUAGCAUUCUAAGUUUAAGUCUAGAAAUCCUACAAAUUCCUAGUUCGCUUAAACUAAUGCUCUGAUACCAACUGUGACAUCCCCAAAAUCACGGCCAGAAAAGACCGGUUUGUUUAUGCUUUGUUUAAAAAUCAGAGUUACAUUUUAAAUGAAAGUGUUGCGGAAUUUGUCCCAAAACAAAAAUAUGAUAAAGAUUUAUCAAAAGCAUUUCCAUAGAAAUGUAUUUCAUUAAAAGACUCGGGAUGUCAUGUUCGUACAGAUCAAAAGCAUAAACAGUACAAUAUAAGCCUUACUACAUUAUUUCAUAUCUACAGGCCUAUAUCCGUAAUCCCUCGUCCAAAACAUCACACCUAUGCUCAUGCGCCACUACCUGUAAUACAUAAAACUGAGUGGGUCAGGCUUGGGAGCCUGGUGAGCACAUAGGGUUUUCAACCCACAAUAAAUAAGUUUAUUAAUUUCAUCGAUCAACAAUAACCCGAUUACCCGUUCCCGUUAUCCUCACUUUACGUCCCUAAACACCUAUCAUAAGGGACCUAGCCUAAGGAUCAUCAUCGGGACGGACACUACUGCUAAGGGGAUUCCUCAGCAAUAAAUGUCCUAAAGGCAACCAUGUGGGGGAUGGAGUACACCGGUGAACAUAUCGUUCACAAACACCUACAGGUUGCGAGCCUGCUAGUGUUCCACUGGACUGUCUAGAAGAGUCCGUGGUCGUCAUCCAUACUCCGCUAGAUGACAGAAUCAACAACAUCAACAUCGAGGCCUCUCAUCAUUUUAUCACACAUCACCUAUUGCAUCUACCCAUGUUUUACCCCAACAUUUUCGUAGAUAUAAAAUACAUAUACAGUUUAAAUCAUUGAAAACAUGUAUAACAACGUUCAUCUAGCAUAGAUAGCAAGUAUUCAGAUAAUAUGCACACAUAGCACGUAAUUUAUAUAAAAUACUUCAUAUCUAUGUGUAAGUUGAAAGUAACUAUGCACUCACUUGUUAAGGUGAUGAUUCCAAAAUCGGGCAGCGCUUGCUUCUAACGAUUCUAUUUUCCUUCGACGAAACCUAGCAUUAUUAUCGCUAAAUUUUAGUCUAAUAUUUACCGUGACCAACUAUUAGUCUUAGUAUUAUUAUUAUUAUAUAAGCGUUAAACAAUAUUUUCCAACCACUAUGUACAGACAGGGGCCAGACAUAAAACACCGGAGGGCAGGACCAUUUUGGCAUAUAGCACUUCUGAAAUCCAACAACCCUAUGCGGCCCUUUAAACCAGAUUCCCCGUACCGCGAGUAGUUAAAAAAAAAUUUAUAACGACACUUAUAUAAGUUAUAAUAAUAGCUCAAAUAUUUAUUAUAAGUUCAUAAUAACAAUACUAAUUUUAAAUAUAAGCUAUAUUAAAAUAAGGUAAGCAUAACUUACUUACAAGGGGGUUUUAGCUAGGAGUCGGGCUCUGCAGGGGCAGAACUUCGUCGCUGAAUCUUUCUAAGAAAGAUUCGUGCAGCGCUUCAGCGCUCACCUUACUAUACUAAGCUACAGAAAGAGAAGUCGAAUCACGAGGGACCGAAAUGCUCGGGGGAUAAGGAGAGAAAGACUCUUGAAUCAAGAGAAUGGUGCAAGAAAUAUGAGAGCCCAAGGCUCUUAUUUAUACUAAUUGAAUUUUCAAAAACUACCCUCCAUAAUUACUUAAUGACCUUUUAGUUAUAUAAACAACUAAACACCCCUCUAUAAUACUAUUAUAAAUGGAUUUAAUGAUAUUUGUACUAAACUAAUGUCGAAAGAACUCAACAUUAGUCUUAUAAUGACCGCAUCGUCGAUACCUUUCUAAUGAUAUAUACAUAUGUAUAUAUAUGUGUACGUAUACAUGAUUUAUACUUUAUUUUAAUACGUAAAUAUGCUAUUAUAAUUUGUAACUCGUUCAUACGAACUCCGUUUUUGACGUUCUUUAUAUCCACGCGAAGGUGGGAACGUACUCUACCACUUUCGUUUAGACUCCGUCGGCUAAUUUUGGCUCGAUUUUAAAUUUUAUACUAUUAACGGGCCGGGACACGAUUGGUCCGUUAAAUCCUCAUAACUUCUUCAUCCGAUUUCCGUUUUCGCCCAUCUUUUUCUCGUUAUGCUACUCUCAACGAGAUCUUCGAUUUUCGUUUAGGUCGUGUCGGCUAAAAACCGCUCGAUCUAAUAUUCGAAUUUCGGGUUGUACACUGCUAUUCCGAAACUUCGAAAAAUCAUAACUUCUUCAUACGAAGUCAGAUUUGGGCGUUCUUUGUAUCGAUGUUCUUAGUUUAACAUAUUCUACGAAUUUCGUUUAGAUCACUAAGGCUAAAUCUCGCUCUAUCGUAAAUUCACUAUUCACGCUUCCCGGUAUCGUGUCGGUUCUGUCGUGAAACUUUGACGGGUCAUAACUUCUUCGUUAUAACUCGGAUUUCGGCGUUCUUUAUAUGUACGGAAACCUUGAGACAUAUUCUACAACUUUAUGUAGAGAUAUUGGGAUUAUCUCACACUUUAAUUUUGACGCUCAUUUUUAUUCUUUAUUAAUUAUACAUUUAUAAUUAAAUAAUAAACACAUAAACACACAUAAUUCACAUAAUACUCAAAUAUUCCAUCUUUAUUAAUUCAAAAAGAGUUACAUGAGUUGACCUAGACUAUUACAUUGACAAAAAUGUUUAGCCCCCAAAACCCAGGCGUUACACUAUUUCACCCCACAUGCAUAUAGCACACAAGCACAAAUGUAU
This 8006-nucleotide long non-coding RNA is filed under the name Lactuca sativa (garden lettuce). RNAcentral describes it as "long non-coding RNA (LSAT_LNC001779)". The record is from RNAcentral. Lineage: Eukaryota; Viridiplantae; Streptophyta; Magnoliopsida; Asterales; Asteraceae.